AUCCCAGACUCCUACGGGAGGCAGCAGUGGGGAAUAUUGCACAAUGGGGGGAACCCUGAUGCAGCGACGCCGCGUGAGUGAAGAAGUAUCUCGGUACGUAAAGCCCUAUCAGCAGGGAAGAAAAUGACGGUACCUGACUAAGAAGCCCCGGCUAACUACGUGCCAGCAGCCGCGGUAAUACGUAGGUGGCAAGCGUUAUCCGGAUUUAUUGGGUGUAAAGGGCGUGUAGGCGGGAGCGCAAGUCAGAUGUGAAAUCCCGCGGCUCAACCGCGGAACUGCAUUUGAAACUGUCAGUCUUGAGUACCGGAGAGGUCAUCGGAAUUCCUUGUGUAGCGGUGAAAUGCGUAGAUAUAAGGAAGAACACCAGUGGCGAAGGCGGAUGACUGGACGGCAACCGACGGUGAGGCGCGAAAGCGUGGGGAGCAAACAGGAUUAGAUACCCCGGUAAUA
This 450-nucleotide ribosomal RNA is filed under the name uncultured bacterium. Its description in RNAcentral is "bacterial SSU rRNA". It matches the Rfam family "Bacterial small subunit ribosomal RNA", at positions 328 to 795 of the family's 1533-position model. The record is from RNAcentral.